GGGUGAAUAGCUCAGUUGGUAGAGCGUCCGCUUUGCAACCACUAUACGAGUGGUCCAGCUUGUGGAAGGUCUAGAGUUCGAUUCCCUAUUCAUCCA
Podospora fimiseda is the source of this 96-nucleotide non-coding RNA. The record is from the annotation of a GenBank genome assembly. NCBI's taxonomy places the organism in Eukaryota, Fungi, Ascomycota, Sordariomycetes, Sordariales, Podosporaceae.